UGUUCCAAAAGCUUCCAUGGCUCCCUUUGGUCUCUAGGAGAGAGCCCAAAUCUCUCAGCUCUGUAUCUAAGACCGUGGAAGAGUCAUCUCUUCCUGAUUUCCCAACAUCUUUGUUGGUCAGCAUUCCUCAGUCAUGGCAAGCAUUUUCAUGCCUCCGGAUCUAGAAACGGCUAUUCUCUCUGCUUCCCCUUCCCUCCCAUUCUUUCCCCUUUUCUGGGCCCAAGACAGAUCACACUGUUGUUAGUCAUUCAGACUCUAUUUCCCUCCUGAUUCCAAGGUUCAUGUGGACAAGGCUGGGAAUUAUUUUUUUCUUUUACCAAGGACGGGCACCCAGGAAAUGUUGGGAGGUAGACUGAGAAGGAGAAAUGCACUCUGCUCUUCAAGAAUACAUAGCCUAUAAGGCAAUGUGCUCUUUUCUUCUCAAAUUAGGACUAUCCAUAUUUCAGUUUGAAUAUGAAGCUGCUGGUUAUCAGAAGGAACGUUGGGAAGUCAGCUCAGAGAGACUCCCCUGAAUCAGUGUGGUGGAGCCCCUCCUCACAGAUGGGAAGCAGAGGGAAACGAUCUCAUGCAACAGAGCUCUGGAAGCAAAGUUGGACUCAGCACGCGGGUACAGGGCACAAAGUACCCAAGGUGUGCACUCUUUUGGGAAUCCAAGUCCUUGAGAGUGUUGGAGCAGGAGAAGCAUGGUAGGGAAGGGCAAGAGGUCCAAGGCCCAAUGCCAGUGGUGGCACAGUCCAGGUUGGUGAUUAAAGACCAAGAGGGCAGCCUCAAAUCCUUAGAGAACUCGAACAAGGUGCCUCCCUCCUCUGACUGUUCCCUGCACAGUUAAUACUCAGCAAGCCUUAGCUGAAUAAAAUUGCACGAACAGUCCAGCACAGGGUGUGAACGGGGCUAAAGAAGUCUGGAAGUCUGAGAAGUCUGGAAGUUUGCCUGGGUUUUGAGGAUGGUGUUUGGCCAGCCCUUAAAGUUUCAGGUAUCACCCCAUGGGUCCAUCACUCCAGAGUUAAGAAGGCCAACUCAGAAGAACCCACAACCUGGCGAAGUGAUCCAGAUCCAGUCAACCCACUUAAACUGACCCUCAAAAGGGAAACUGCCCCUGCGACCUCCAGCCCUGCUCCAGCCACACCCCGGAAGCUGGCUUGCCUGCGCACAGCAGAAGCUUGAGGAAUCAACUCAUGAACCUAGCCCAGGGGUCUGGAUGCAACUCUGCCAGCCCUUGCCCCUUAUUGGUGUCAUAGCCCUGAUCUUACUUCUUGCUGUUGGGCUGAUAGAGACUGCACCAACAAGCUGGACAUGGGACAAAAGAUGCAUGCUGGGUCUCACACACCUCCUCUGGAUGGGAGGGCCAUUAAGUAUUGUCUGUAUAUUAUGAUAACCUCUCUCACCCUCACAACUGCCGCUUACCCACUUUGCCUCCAGGAUUGCUAUAUGACAAUAAGGGGGUCAAGGGUGCUCAGUGCCUUCACCUCCCUCCACGAAGAUUGCUACAAGGGAAAAACACCCACUCUCUGUCAGUCACCUGGUGCCCCCAAGGACUAAGUUUUGGACCGUAGAGAUAACACAAAAUGUCAGGAACCCAUGUCACAACAAGGGCCUCCAGAGAGGGAAGCCAGCUUGCUACACUUACCUUCCUCAAUGGGGGAUCUCAGAUGGGGGAGGGGUGAAGACAGGGCCCUUCAAAAAGUUAUAAAGGAUACCCAGGAUAGGGUAAUACAGGCCAUAAAGGCGACCACUCCCCCGGCAGCCUACCAAGGUUUGGACCUUUCAGCCCUCAAUCAGAUGCUUACAAAUUCCCCGCUACUCUCCAAGUCCUCCAUAAAAUAGAUAAUCACACCCAAACCUGCUGGAUGUGCUUGCCCCUCGGCCGGAGGGCUUACCUAGCCACUCCCAUCCCUUUGACCUGGGAAGCUCCUGAAAAUCUCAAAACCAACACCUCUGUCUUAAUUGGACCCCUGGCCACUGGGGUCCAUCUCACAAAUGCCGACAAUCUAAUCUGUACAGUCCCUGAAGGUAUGAACAGUACCUCUCUAUGCGGAAGAAAUAUAACCUUAGAGAGGAAUGCAACCCUGUGUUCAACCCCUGGGGUGUUCUGUGUUCUAGUUCGCCUACUGAUGCUUAGAGGCCAACUGGACUCAGAUAUGUUAUUCCAUCUUCCUAACCCCAGAAAUAUCCGUGUACACGGAAGAUCAGCUCCUAACAGCCUUUAGCCCCAAGUCCCGGACUAAAUGGGCAAUCCUGGUACCCGUUCUGAUAGGAGCAGGAAUUGCGACAAGAAUAGGAGCCAGAAUAGAGGGCGUAGGUUCAUCCGAAGGACUGUACCAUAGACUAUCUCAAGAGAUAAAUGAGGACAUGGAACAGGUGGCAGAUUCUCUGGUAAACUUACAAAGCCAAAUAAACUCUCUGGCGGCAGUGACCCUCCAAAAAUGGGCAAGCCCUCAACCUCCUCACUUCAGAAAAAGGAGCGACAUGCAUCUUUCUGGGGGAGGAAUGUUGCUAUUUCGUAAACCAGUCAGGAAUAGUUACAGCUAAGGUUAAGGAACUCAAAGAAAGAAUUCAAGGUAGACAACAGGAAAGUAUCAAUCAAUGGAAAGGAUGGGAUCUCACGGAUUGGGCAUCCUGGCUUCCUGCCCUGGCAGGGACCCUCCUCUCCAUAAUUUUACUUGUAUCCAUUGGCCCCGUAUACUGAAUGCCAUGGUACAUUUUAUUGAAAACACUGUUUCUCGCCAAACUACUGCACGUGGCUUAGCCUUCCAAGAGUACCAACCUAUAAAACUGAAAGGUGAUGCCUACUAAAAGUUUUUUAAAGGGCAUCAAAGAGGGGGAAUGUUGGAGAAGUGAAUAAAGUAUUGCACCAAAGAUGACCGAUGGGGCUAAAACAGACUCUGGUCUCUAGCUUAGAGACCCCUCCUCCGGGUUCUUCUUCUUUUGUUUGCUGUGCACAGGAAAACCCCCACAGAUAUGGAAGCUGAUGACUAUACAUUAUCCUCCCCACUUACAUUUGGCGCCUAGACCUUUGGAGAAAGUCUCCUCUGAGCCGGCCGGUGUUAAAUAAAUCUCCGAUCCACCAAGGUCUCCGAGUGCCGCUUGGUUUUUCCACCAGUGUUCCAGCCUGGUUCCAUAACAAGACCAUGACCAGAGCUGAAAUCAAGAGUUGGAUGCCCAACCCAGACACCCAGGCAUCCCAGAACUUUGUCCUAUUAACAGCCAAUUCUAAUUUUAUACCAGUGUACUUUUGAUAUUAAAAUUUAUUAAUCCCUUU
Molecule: long non-coding RNA, 3259 nt
Organism: Acinonyx jubatus (cheetah)
Lineage: Eukaryota; Metazoa; Chordata; Mammalia; Carnivora; Felidae
Exons: 2
Source: RefSeq, a predicted model, not a curated record